AGAGUUUGAUCCUGGCUCAGAUUGAACGCUGGCGGCAUGCCUUACACAUGCAAGUCGAACGGCAGCACGGGAGCAAUCCUGGUGGCGAGUGGCGAACGGGUGAGUAAUACAUCGGAACGUGCCCUGUAGUGGGGGAUAACUAGUCGAAAGACUAGCUAAUACCGCAUACGACCUGAGGGUGAAAGUGGGGGACCGCAAGGCCUCAUGCUAUAGGAGCGGCCGAUGUCUGAUUAGCUAGUUGGUGGGGUAAAGGCCUACCAAGGCGACGAUCAGUAGCUGGUCUGAGAGGACGAUCAGCCACACUGGGACUGAGACACGGCCCAGACUCCUACGGGAGGCAGCAGUGGGGAAUUUUGGACAAUGGGGGCAACCCUGAUCCAGCAAUGCCGCGUGUGUGAAGAAGGCCUUCGGGUUGUAAAGCACUUUUGUCCGGGAAGAAAUCGCACCUGAUAAUACCGGGUGUGGAUGACGGUACCGGAAGAAUAAGGACCGGCUAACUACGUGCCAGCAGCCGCGGUAAUACGUAGGGUCCAAGCGUUAAUCGGAAUUACUGGGCGUAAAGCGUGCGCAGGCGGUUGUGCAAGACCGAUGUGAAAUCCCCGGGCUUAACCUGGGAAUUGCAUUGGUGACUGCACGGCUAGAGUGUGUCAGAGGGGGGUAGAAUUCCACGUGUAGCAGUGAAAUGCGUAGAGAUGUGGAGGAAUACCGAUGGCGAAGGCAGCCCCCUGGGAUAACACUGACGCUCAUGCACGAAAGCGUGGGGAGCAAACAGGAUUAGAUACCCUGGUAGUCCACGCCCUAAACGAUGUCAACUAGUUGUUGGGGAUUCAUUUCCUUAGUAACGUAGCUAACGCGUGAAGUUGACCGCCUGGGGAGUACGGUCGCAAGAUUAAAACUCAAAGGAAUUGACGGGGACCCGCACAAGCGGUGGAUGAUGUGGAUUAAUUCGAUGCAACGCGAAAAACCUUACCUACCCUUGACAUGCCACUAACGAAGCAGAGAUGCAUUAGGUGCUCGAAAGAGAAAGUGGACACAGGUGCUGCAUGGCUGUCGUCAGCUCGUGUCGUGAGAUGUUGGGUUAAGUCCCGCAACGAGCGCAACCCUUGUCUCUAGUUGCUACGAAAGGGCACUCUAGAGAGACUGCCGGUGACAAACCGGAGGAAGGUGGGGAUGACGUCAAGUCCUCAUGGCCCUUAUGGGUAGGGCUUCACACGUCAUACAAUGGUGCAUACAGAGGGUUGCCAAGCCGCGAGGUGGAGCCAAUCCCAGAAAAUGCAUCGUAGUCCGGAUCGUAGUCUGCAACUCGACUACGUGAAGCUGGAAUCGCUAGUAAUCGCGAAUCAGAAUGUCGCGGUGAAUACGUUCCCGGGUCUUGUACACACCGCCCGUCACACCAUGGGAGUGGGUUGCUCCAGAAGUGGAUAGUCUAACCUUCGGGAGGACGUUCACCACGGAGUGAUUCAUGACUGGGGUGAAGUCGUAACAAGGUAACC
RNAcentral lists this ribosomal RNA (1493 nucleotides) under uncultured bacterium. RNAcentral describes it as "bacterial SSU rRNA". It matches the Rfam family "Bacterial small subunit ribosomal RNA". The record is from RNAcentral.